GCAUUAACUCCAAUGGCACACAGCACAGCAGGAAACUGACCACACCAUCAAGGCCCGCACCAGUGCCAUGGAGCAGAUGUCGGAGCUGCUGCGGGGCUGCUCCGGGAAAAUUGUGGAAAAGGCCUGAGCUCUUCUUCCCACGGCGAGAGGGAUGGCAGACAGCAGAUUCCCCGGGACCCUUCUGCUGAGCUGGCUGACGACAAGAUCUUCAGUGGGGGUGGCAGCACAUGGCAGGGCCAGGAGCAGGCGCUACUUUCACCAAGGAGGACCUGGAGGCCAAGCUGCAGAUCGAGCAGGUCUCAAACUCUGAGGGCCCCCUCCCUGGGUCAGCCUGGUGAGGCACCCCGCCCUCCUCAGACCCUGUGCUGACACCCCACCCUGUGUGGGAAGACAGGCUCCCUCCUGCGGAGACGACCAGAGCAGGAUCAAGUGCAGAGACGGUUCCACCUUUUGCUUGGCUCACUCCAGAGACACAAGUACUACUUCCUGUUGGCUGGAGUCACCAUUCUGCUGGUCAUCAUCCUCAUCAUCACCACUCUAUCUGAAAGCGAUGCCACCUGUGCAUAUUUCACAGACCUAGAACAAACCUUUUGAAA
Miniopterus natalensis is the source of this 596-nucleotide non-coding RNA. NCBI's taxonomy places the organism in Eukaryota, Metazoa, Chordata, Mammalia, Chiroptera, Miniopteridae. The record is from RefSeq and is a predicted model, not a curated record.